Small nucleolar RNA from Panicum virgatum (switchgrass), 107 nucleotides. The record is from RefSeq and is a predicted model, not a curated record. Lineage: Eukaryota; Viridiplantae; Streptophyta; Magnoliopsida; Poales; Poaceae.
AUGCCGUGAUGUGGGCAUGCUUGAAUGUAUUCCUGGAGACGUUCCCAGACUUCCGGAAUGCUCUCAUCCGGUAAUUGUUGAAUUCCGGUGAUCCUAUUCCGGAGGGC